This 77-nucleotide transfer RNA is filed under the name Chloroflexota bacterium. RNAcentral describes it as "Chloroflexi bacterium tRNA-Val". It matches the Rfam family "tRNA". From Rfam's summary of the family: Transfer RNA (tRNA) molecules are approximately 80 nucleotides in length. Their secondary structure includes four short double-helical elements and three loops (D, anti-codon, and T loops). The record is from RNAcentral. Lineage: Bacteria; Bacillati; Chloroflexota. RNAcentral also lists the same sequence under 1 other name.
GGGGCCGUAGCUCAGUUGGUCAGAGCGCACGGUUCACAUCCGUGAGGUCACAGGUUCGAGCCCUGUCGGCCCCACCA